CUUCUCUCUGGUGGGUUCGUGCUGUCGCCAGAGUCCCCACAUGGAAUGUGGAGUGAGGCCCUGCCUAAUGGAGGCUCUCAGUGUGUGUCUCUGCCUGGACUGGAGCCGGGCGGCUUGGGCACCGUCUCCCUGGCCAGCUUUGCAGCUUGCUUCAAAUAAUCAAUCAAAUGCAUCUGAGAGCACAGGCAACAUGACAAGCUCACAAGGAGAUGUUUCACUUUGAUGGAAAAUUUCAAGACAAAAAAAAGAAAAAAAUUAUGACAGCCUACUUUGGGAGAGCCGCUCUUUGGAUUGUGGCUGGAGCUGUCAUCACGACUCACUACACAUUUCUCAACUCCAAGGCUUCAUAACUGGGUCCAUCUCUGCUGCUCUGUGGUGAGCAAAAGACUGGAAAAAAAAAAAGGUAACUGAAGAAAUAGGGCCUUAGCUAUAUGAAGUACAUUGGCGGUGAGGGGAAGAACCCAGCGAAAGGAUGGCAAAAUUUUGCCCGUAAUAAUGAAGCCAGAUAUUUCAAGAUUCAAGUCAAAGAUUUAAUAAAUGGAGAAACGAAUG
This is a long non-coding RNA of Phascolarctos cinereus (koala), 552 nucleotides long. The record is from Ensembl. NCBI's taxonomy places the organism in Eukaryota, Metazoa, Chordata, Mammalia, Diprotodontia, Phascolarctidae.